GAGAGAGGAAGGACGGCUGCCGGGUCAUUUGACCUGAGGAAAGUCUCCCCACCUUCUAAACACACGAAUACCUGUAAAGGGUAUCUGGCGAGAGCCAGGGCAGUUGCUUUGCAACUCAUGUGCUUUGCACAUGCUGGCACAGAAACGAUACCGCAACAUGUCAAUGCGAUGAUGCUGAAAAGCUGAGUUCUCAUGAAAUGCGGAUGGAACGGCGAAUCCUCGUGGGUGCAAGUCGGAAGUAGGGGGCAAUGGUUGUUUAGACCAUUCCCGAAGUUUAUGUACGCGUAGCCGAAUGCCGUCAAUGCAGCUCUUUUGAGCGCAUCAUUCUGCCAUGUUGGAAUGAAUGUAUUGCAUUAACAGAAGGGAGCUUACUCUCCUCACUC
Non-coding RNA from Methanolobus tindarius DSM 2278, 383 nucleotides. NCBI's taxonomy places the organism in Archaea, Methanobacteriati, Methanobacteriota, Methanomicrobia, Methanosarcinales, Methanosarcinaceae. The record is from Rfam.